GUGCCAGUAUUGUAGGCGUAUCAUGCAAGAUUCCCAUUCUUGUGAUACGGGUUCGAUUCCCGGCUGGCGCA
Molecule: transfer RNA, 71 nt
Filed under: Anguilla anguilla (European eel)
Lineage: Eukaryota; Metazoa; Chordata; Actinopteri; Anguilliformes; Anguillidae
Rfam family: tRNA
About the family: Transfer RNA (tRNA) molecules are approximately 80 nucleotides in length. Their secondary structure includes four short double-helical elements and three loops (D, anti-codon, and T loops).
Source: Rfam by way of RNAcentral